CUCUAAUCCUCAGAAAGAGGAAACUUGCUACUGAGAGCAUCAAUGCAACUGAGGAACUUUGCUGUGGAGGGACAUCAAGAGUCUGCAGUUAGUCCAAUCU
Molecule: long non-coding RNA, 100 nt
Organism: Lagopus leucura (white-tailed ptarmigan)
Lineage: Eukaryota; Metazoa; Chordata; Aves; Galliformes; Phasianidae
Exons: 3
Source: RefSeq, a predicted model, not a curated record